AUUUGCUUUUCAACACCCAUUUCAUAGUGGUACAUGUGGCUUUGAUUAAUAUUACCAUAAAGACUGCUGAAAAUGGAUGUGGUACGGAAACCCAGAAAUGGCAUGAGUUCAACAUCAAACAUGGAUUAGGCACUUAUCGGUUUUUUGUCUAUCGAAAAAGUAUUUUUAAUGCUAUUAUUUUGCAUUCACAGAAUUUUAGCAGGGGAUCAAGUCAAAUCUGGAAGUGUUACAGGAUGGAAGAGUUGCCCUGUAGUUGAAAAAACACUGAGAGUGCAUUACUGUUAAGGUAUGAGAAUCCUUCAUAGUGUCACAGCUAGAAGCCUCUAAUAAUUCUGCUUCUCUGGCUAAAGAACAACUUGUCCUUUAUGUUCAGAGUGUUGGUGAAGUUGGAUACUUAAAUGGCCCUAAAGAUGUUUCACUUUGCUGGCAUUGCAGCGAUGAACAUCAUACAUGGACUCUUUAGGAAAGGAUUUUCAUAUACUGGGAACAUAACUAUCAACUAUGCAACAUUCUACGGGUGCUAUUUUAUCAUUCAAGAGCCUUAUACAAUGAUGUUCAUUUGCAAUUUGUAUGGCCUUUCCCAAGCUUCUGCCAGAAGUUGAAUCUAUGAGUCAUGUAAGUCACAUGAGCAACAAUUGAGAUGCUUAAUGGUGUUUUUCUUUUCUCAGUAUAGGUUAAUAGUAACAUUGGAUCUGAAAAGAUUCUUGGUUGGGGCAAGACACUGAAUAAAUUGUAAUGAUUGGAUGGAUGACAUGACAUUUCUAUACAUCAUUCGGAUUCCCGAGACGGUAUUUUAUAUUUAAAAAAUUGAAGUGCAUAUCUGGGCUCCCUUCCUUUCCGUAGCCCCGUUUCCCCUUGACUCGUAAUAAGCCCGUAGGGGGUCAUGCCCCUACUGUACGGUAUAUAUAAAAAUAACAUAUACCGAGGUUUGGAGGGCUCUGGCCGGAAAGGGGACGUGGGGGUCCGCGUAGUCCGAUGAUGUGUUCACGGAGGGCGACGUGGCUACCCACAAAUCCGAACUAAAGGUUAAUCGCUCCUGUAAAAAUGUUCCAAAUCUUCAGCUCUUCUUCCGGCUUCUCUUAGCCAA
Daphnia carinata is the source of this 1087-nucleotide long non-coding RNA. RefSeq lists it as uncharacterized. The record is from RefSeq and is a predicted model, not a curated record. NCBI's taxonomy places the organism in Eukaryota, Metazoa, Arthropoda, Branchiopoda, Diplostraca, Daphniidae. The transcript has 3 exons.